This 572-nucleotide ribosomal RNA is filed under the name Escherichia coli. Its description in RNAcentral is "partial 23S ribosomal RNA". It matches the Rfam family "Bacterial large subunit ribosomal RNA", at positions 669 to 1239 of the family's 2925-position model. Lineage: Bacteria; Pseudomonadati; Pseudomonadota; Gammaproteobacteria; Enterobacterales; Enterobacteriaceae. The record is from RNAcentral.
AAGGGAAACCGAGUCUUAACUGGGCGUUAAGUUGCAGGGUAUAGACCCGAAACCCGGUGAUCUAGCCAUGGGCAGGUUGAAGGUUGGGUAACACUAACUGGAGGACCGAACCGACUAAUGUUGAAAAAUUAGCGGAUGACUUGUGGCUGGGGGUGAAAGGCCAAUCAAACCGGGAGAUAGCUGGUUCUCCCCGAAAGCUAUUUAGGUAGCGCCUCGUGAAUUCAUCUCCGGGGGUAGAGCACUGUUUCGGCAAGGGGGUCAUCCCGACUUACCAACCCGAUGCAAACUGCGAAUACCGGAGAAUGUUAUCACGGGAGACACACGGCGGGUGCUAACGUCCGUCGUGAAGAGGGAAACAACCCAGACCGCCAGCUAAGGUCCCAAAGUCAUGGUUAAGUGGGAAACGAUGUGGGAAGGCCCAGACAGCCAGGAUGUUGGCUUAGAAGCAGCCAUCAUUUAAAGAAAGCGUAAUAGCUCACUGGUCGAGUCGGCCUGCGCGGAAGAUGUAACGGGGCUAAACCAUGCACCGAAGCUGCGGCAGCGACACUGUGUGUUGUUGGGUAGGGGAGCGU